GAUGAACGCUAGCGGCAGGCUUAAUACAUGCAAGUCGAACGGUAAGGUCUCUUCGGAGAUACACGAGUGGCGCACGGGUGCGUAACGCGUAUGCAACCUACCUUUAACUGGGAAAUAGCCCCGAGAAAUCGGGAUUAAUGUCCCAUAUUAUUCUUUGAAUACCUAUUCGAGGAAUGAAAGCUCCGGCGGUUAUUGAUGGGCAUGCGUGACGUUAGCUAGUUGGUGAGGUAACGGCUCACCAAGGCAACGAUGUCUAGGGGUCCUGAGAGGGUUACCCCCCACACUGGUACUGAGACACGGACCAGACUCCUACGGGAGGCAGCAGUAAGGAAUAUUGGGCAAUGGACGCAAGUCGGACCCAGCCAUGCCGCGUGAAGGAUGAAUGUCCUAUGGAUUGUAAACUUCUUUUAUGCAGGAAAAAUAUCCCGGUCGUGAACCGGGACUGAUGGUACUGUAUGAAUAAGCAUCGGCUAACUCCGUGCCAGCAGCCGCCGUAA
This 497-nucleotide ribosomal RNA is filed under the name uncultured bacterium. Its description in RNAcentral is "partial 16S ribosomal RNA". It matches the Rfam family "Bacterial small subunit ribosomal RNA", at positions 28 to 523 of the family's 1533-position model. The record is from RNAcentral.